RNAcentral lists this ribosomal RNA (467 nucleotides) under uncultured bacterium. Its description in RNAcentral is "partial 16S ribosomal RNA". It matches the Rfam family "Bacterial small subunit ribosomal RNA", at positions 29 to 507 of the family's 1533-position model. The record is from RNAcentral.
ACGAACGCUGGCGGCGUGCUUAACACAUGCAAGUCGAACGGAAAGGCCCUGCUUUUGUGGGGUGCUCGAGUGGCGAACGGGUGAGUAACACGUGAGUAACCUGCCCUUGACUUUGGGAUAACUUCAGGAAACUGGGGCUAAUACCGGAUAGGAGCUCCUGCUGCAUGGUGGGGGUUGGAAAGUUUCGGCGGUUGGGGAUGGACUCGCGGCUUAUCAGCUUGUUGGUGGGGUAGUGGCUUACCAAGGCUUUGACGGGUAGCCGGCCUGAGAGGGUGACCGGCCACAUUGGGACUGAGAUACGGCCCUGACUCCUACGGGAGGCAGCAGUGGGGAAUAUUGCACAAUGGGCGGAAGCCUGAUGCAGCAACGCCGCGUGCGGGAUGACGGCCUUCGGGUUGUAAACCGCUUUCGCCUGCGACGAAGCGUGAGUGACGGUAAUGGGUAAAGAAGCACCGGCUAACUACGUG